UACGGAGGGAGCUAGCGUUAUUCGGAAUUACUGGGCGUAAAGCGCACGUAGGCGGCUUUGUAAGUUAGAGGUGAAAGCCUGGAGCUCAGCUCCAGAACUGCCUUUAAGACUGCAUCGCUUGAAUCCAGGAGAGGUGAGUGGAAUUCCGAGUGUAGAGGUGAAAUUCGUAGAUAUUCGGAAGAACACCAGUGGCGAAGGCGGCUCACUGGACUGGUAUUGACGCUGAGGUGCGAAAGCGUGGGGAGCAAACAGG
Molecule: ribosomal RNA, 253 nt
Filed under: uncultured bacterium
Lineage: Bacteria
Description: partial 16S ribosomal RNA
Rfam family: Bacterial small subunit ribosomal RNA
Source: RNAcentral